Molecule: ribosomal RNA, 417 nt
Filed under: uncultured bacterium
Lineage: Bacteria
Description: bacterial SSU rRNA
Rfam family: Bacterial small subunit ribosomal RNA
Source: RNAcentral
GGAAUAUGGGUCAAUGGCCGGAAGGCUGAACCAGCCAAGUCGCGUGAGGGAAUAAGGCCCUACGGGUCGUAAACCUCUUUUGCCAGGGAGCAAUGCCGUCCACGUGUGGACGGAAGGAGAGUACCUGGGGAAAAAGCAUCGGCUAACUCCGUGCCAGCAGCCGCGGUAAUACGGAGGAUGCGAGCGUUAUCCGGAUUUAUUGGGUUUAAAGGGUGCGUAGGCGGCCUGCCAAGUCAGCAGUAAAAGUGCGGGGCUCAACCACGUACAGCCGUUGAAACUGCCGGGCUCGAGUGGGCGAGGAGUAUGCGGAAUGCGUGGUGUAGCGGUGAAAUGCAUAGAUAUCACGCAGAACUCCGAUUGCGAAGGCAGCGUACCGGCGCCCAACUGACGCUGAAGCACGAAGGCGUGGGUAUCGAA